UACGUAGGGGGCAAGCGUUGUCCGGAUUUAUUGGGCGUAAAGAGCGUGUAGGCGGCCCGGUAGGUGGGUUGUGAAAACUGGAGGCUCAACCUUCAGACGUCGACCCAAACCCCCUGGCUAGAGUCCGGAAGAGGAGAGUGGAAUUCCUGGUGUAGCGGUGAAAUGCGUAGAUAUCUGGAGGAACACCGGUGGCGAAGGCGGCAUCCUGGACCGAGAUUGACGCUGAGGCGCGAAAGCCAGGGGAGCAAACGGG
Molecule: ribosomal RNA, 253 nt
Filed under: uncultured bacterium
Lineage: Bacteria
Description: partial 16S ribosomal RNA
Rfam family: Bacterial small subunit ribosomal RNA
Source: RNAcentral